Molecule: ribosomal RNA, 397 nt
Filed under: uncultured bacterium
Lineage: Bacteria
Description: partial 16S ribosomal RNA
Rfam family: Bacterial small subunit ribosomal RNA
Source: RNAcentral
AUACAUAGGGGACAAGCGUUAUCCGGAUUGACUGGGCGUAAAGGGCGCGUAGGUGGCCUUAUAAGUCAGGUGUGAAAGGUAUCGGCUCAACCGAUAAAUUGCACUUGAAACUGUGAGGCUUGAGUAUUGGAGAGGCAAGUGGAAUUCCUAGUGUAGCGGUGAAAUGCGUAGAAAUUAGGAGGAACACCGGUGGCGAAGGCGGCUUGCUGGACAAAUACCGACACUGAGGCGCGAAAGCGUGGGUAGCGAACAGGAUUAGAUACCCUGGUAGUCCACACUAUAAACGAUGAAUGCUAGGUGUAGGAGGUAUCUUCCCCUUCUGUGCCGCAGUAAACACAGUAAGCAUUCCGCCUGGGGAGUACGGUCGCAAGAUUAAAACUCAAAGGAAUUGACGGGG